Molecule: unclassified non-coding RNA, 219 nt
Filed under: Hevea brasiliensis (rubber tree)
Lineage: Eukaryota; Viridiplantae; Streptophyta; Magnoliopsida; Malpighiales; Euphorbiaceae
Source: RNAcentral
UGAUAGAAUGCCUGUGAGAGAUAUAACUUCUUGGAAUACCAUGAUAUCGGGUUAUGUGAAGAACGGUAAACCGAAAGAGGCUUUGGCCAUUUUUUACUUAAUGAAGCAAACUGGAUUGUCUGCAGAUGGCAUGACUUUGGUUGGUCUCCUUUGUGCUUGUGCCGAGCUAGCUGCACUGAAGCAGGGAAAAGAGAUUCAUGGCUAUGUUGUCAGAAAUGG